AUUGAACGCUGGCGGCAGGCCUAACACAUGCAAGUCGAGCGGAUGAAGGGAGCUUGCUCCUGGAUUCAGCGGCGGACGGGUGAGUAAUGCCUAGGGAUCUGCCUGGUAGUGGGGGAUAACGUCCGGAAACGGGCGCUAAUACCGCAUACGUCCUGAGGGAGAAAGUGGGGGAUCUUCGGACCCCACGCUAUCAGAUGAGCCUAGGUCGGAUUAGCUAGUUGGUGGGGUAAAGGCCUACCAAGGCGACGAUCCGUAACUGGUCUGAGAGGAUGAUCAGUCACACUGGAACUGAGACACGGUCCAGACUCCUACGGGAGGCAGCAGUGGGGAAUAUUGGACAAUGGGCGAAAGCCUGAUCCAGCCAUGCCGCGUGUGUGAAGAAGGUCUUCGGAUUGUAAAGCACUUUAAGUUGGGAGGAAGGGCAGUAAGUUAAUACCUUGCUGUUUUGACGUUACCAACAGAAUAAGCACCGGCUAACUUCGUG
This 484-nucleotide ribosomal RNA is filed under the name uncultured bacterium. RNAcentral's name for it is "partial 16S ribosomal RNA". It matches the Rfam family "Bacterial small subunit ribosomal RNA", at positions 30 to 507 of the family's 1533-position model. The record is from RNAcentral.